Molecule: ribosomal RNA, 980 nt
Filed under: Lactiplantibacillus plantarum
Lineage: Bacteria; Bacillati; Bacillota; Bacilli; Lactobacillales; Lactobacillaceae
Description: bacterial SSU rRNA
Rfam family: Bacterial small subunit ribosomal RNA
Source: RNAcentral
ACUCUGGUAUUGAUUGGUGCUUGCAUCAUGAUUUACAUUUGAGUGAGUGGCGAACUGGUGAGUAACACGUGGGAAACCUGCCCAGAAGCGGGGGAUAACACCUGGAAACAGAUGCUAAUACCGCAUAACAACUUGGACCGCAUGGUCCGAGUUUGAAAGAUGGCUUCGGCUAUCACUUUUGGAUGGUCCCGCGGCGUAUUAGCUAGAUGGUGGGGUAACGGCUCACCAUGGCAAUGAUACGUAGCCGACCUGAGAGGGUAAUCGGCCACAUUGGGACUGAGACACGGCCCAAACUCCUACGGGAGGCAGCAGUAGGGAAUCUUCCACAAUGGACGAAAGUCUGAUGGAGCAACGCCGCGUGAGUGAAGAAGGGUUUCGGCUCGUAAAACUCUGUUGUUAAAGAAGAACAUAUCUGAGAGUAACUGUUCAGGUAUUGACGGUAUUUAACCAGAAAGCCACGGCUAACUACGUGCCAGCAGCCGCGGUAAUACGUAGGUGGCAAGCGUUGUCCGGAUUUAUUGGGCGUAAAGCGAGCGCAGGCGGUUUUUUAAGUCUGAUGUGAAAGCCUUCGGCUCAACCGAAGAAGUGCAUCGGAAACUGGGAAACUUGAGUGCAGAAGAGGACAGUGGAACUCCAUGUGUAGCGGUGAAAUGCGUAGAUAUAUGGAAGAACACCAGUGGCGAAGGCGGCUGUCUGGUCUGUAACUGACGCUGAGGCUCGAAAGUAUGGGUAGCAAACAGGAUUAGAUACCCUGGUAGUCCAUACCGUAAACGAUGAAUGCUAAGUGUUUGAAGGGUUUCCGCCCUUCAGUGCUGCAGCUAACGCAUUAAGCAUUCCGCCUGGGGGAGUACGGCCGCAAGGCUGAAACUCAAAGGAAUUGACGGGGGCCCGCACAAGCGGUGGAGCAUGUGGUUUAAUUCGAAGCUACGCGAAGAACCUUACCAGGUCUUGACAUACUAUGCAAAUCUAAGAGAUUAGAC